This is a long non-coding RNA of Scylla paramamosain (green mud crab), 1026 nucleotides long. RefSeq lists it as uncharacterized. The record is from RefSeq and is a predicted model, not a curated record. The transcript has 5 exons. NCBI's taxonomy places the organism in Eukaryota, Metazoa, Arthropoda, Malacostraca, Decapoda, Portunidae.
UAAAACCUAAAUUUUUAUAGGCCUGGCAUUUCAGUGGGAUUUCUGUUUUUAUUGGAUUUUUUGUUGCCCUUGGCUCGUGUCACUCCUUCAGAAAAAGGAGAAAAGGUGGACUUGGAAUCUCUCAGGGGAAACUACAUGUAGUAAUUGAAUUAAAAUGGCUAGAACCAGAGGAUGGGGUUGUGCGUCCCCGGGAGUUCAGAGGGUGCCGGCGCUUCAACUGAUGGUGUGGACCCAUGAGACAGAGGCUCCACCAGGUGGUAACACAAGCAGCGGGUGGAAGAGACCUUGGGAGACUUCCGUAACUCAGAAGCAAGAAGCUGGAGCCUUGUGACUGACUGGUGGUUUUGACUGCAGGCACCAACAUUCAGGGUAACAGGGACGUGAGGGGUCUCCAGCAGCAUGCCUGAAGAUACUUGUGUGUGGACGAGGGACACACACUCAAGAACCACAAGUCCCUGAACACCUUUCCCCCCAUGAACUGGCUGCUGUUUACUGGGACACCCUUGCAGAACAGCCUGGCGGAGCUCUGGGCCCUUCUGAACUUCCUAAUGCUGGAUAUUUUUGAGUCCUUGUCCAAUGUGAGUGAGAUGCAGGAGGGAAGUGAGGAGAGGACUCUGAGGCAGGAAUGGGAGGGCCAGGCCAUCUCCACUCUAAUGAAGAUAAGAGAGAGGGAAUGUGGGUGUGUUUGGGAGUGUUUUGGUGGCUUUGGGUAGGUUUGGGUGUGUUUGGGGAGUUUUUUAUGAUUAUUUAAAGAGGUUUUUUUGGGCUGGAGAGGAGUUUUUUUUGGGCUGGAGAGGAGUUUUUUGGGCUGGAGAGAAUUUUUUUGGGUCUGGAGAGGAGCUUUUUGGGCUGGAGAGAAAUGUUUUGGGCUGGAGAGAAGGUUAUGUUUUGGGCUGGAGAGAAGGUUUUGUGGGCUGGAGGGAAGGUUUUUUUGGGCUGGAGGGAAGUUUUUUGGGCUGGAGGGAAUUUUUUGGGCUGGAGAGGAUCGUUUCAGGUCAGGUGGUUAAACACUACCGUCUAUCUAGU